This 460-nucleotide ribosomal RNA is filed under the name uncultured bacterium. RNAcentral describes it as "partial 23S ribosomal RNA". It matches the Rfam family "Bacterial large subunit ribosomal RNA", at positions 1797 to 2280 of the family's 2925-position model. The record is from RNAcentral.
CGACUGUUUAAUAAAAACAUAAGAUUUUUUGCUAAAUUGUAAAAUGAUGUAUAAAAUCUGACGCCUGCCCAGUGCUGCAAGACGAAAACUUUAGGUAUAUGCUUAAAGUAUAAGCCCAGUAAACGGCGGCCGUAACCCUGACGGUCCAAAGGUAGCAAAAUUCCUUGACGGGUAAAUUCCGUCCUGCACGAAUGGCGUAACGACUGCUUCGCUGUCUCCGGUAUUAUCCUUGUGAAUUUUGAACUAGCCGUGAAGAUGCGGUUUAGUACAGCUAGACGGAAAGACCCUAUGCACCUUUACUGCAUUCUUAUUUUUUAGAAGUAACUAAAGGCUUUUCUAGUGAGGUGGGGGAUAAUUUUAUUUUUAAGUGGAAAACCACUAAGUUUUUUUUUUACUUUUUUAAGCUGAAAAAUUAAUUUUAUUUUGGUGGAGAAGGUAGAGUGGUAGUUUUGACUGGGGC